Molecule: RNA transcript, 672 nt
Organism: Capsicum annuum
Lineage: Eukaryota; Viridiplantae; Streptophyta; Magnoliopsida; Solanales; Solanaceae
Exons: 3
Source: RefSeq, a predicted model, not a curated record
GAUACAAUAGGGCUCCGCCUUCUCUGCUUGGUUCUGUUUGAGUUGGUGACAAAACUACAACCUUGUGGUUGGAGGUGGAGGGCCGUCAGUAGGCUAUCCCAUGCUUAUCUAAACAAUUUUUGGAAUAUUGCAGUCUGGAAAAUUUAAUAUACCUGAAAACUGGCUAGAAAUGUCUUGACAUAAAAUUUAUCCACUCCGCAGUUCGUGCAUGUAUAUUGAUAACAAUGGAGGGGCUCAUGAAGUAGAUCUAAAGGAAGUCCAAGCAACAAAACUUGAUCCUCUUUCAUCACAUACCGUGAGCCUGAUUGAUGGAAUUAAUCAAAGUGAGGCGAGGCGUAGAGCUCUAAUUCUCUUCUUCAUCACGCACUUGAAUAAGAACACAAAGGUGAUUUCUGGUAGUCACUGAUAGCUCGGGUAAAAUGUAUUUGUCUUCUCUGAGUUCUCAUGCCCAAUAUCUGGACGCAUAUCUUCUUUCUAUAGAUCGGAAAGGACUUGAUGUACUGGGAAAAGUUUUAGGUCCAAUAAGGAGCGAUGGUUCUCGUGAAUAUCAGUGGAGGAAGUUCAGAAUUGAAUUCAUAGAAGAGGCUCACACAGUUGAAACAUUCUGCAGUCAGCUUGUUGAAAUGGAGGAGGAAUCACUUAAGAAUAUCUCCAACUUUAGUGGUAUAUAAA